GACGAACGCUGGCGGCGUGCUUAACACAUGCAAGUCGAACGAUGAAAGAGGAGCUUGCUCCUCUGGAUUAGUGGCGAACGGGUGAGUAACACGUGAGCAAUCUGCCCCUGACUUCGGAAUAACUACGGGAAACUGUAGCUAAUACCGGAUAUGCGCCGAACAGGCAUCUGUAUCGGUGGGAAAGAAGUUCGGGCAGGGAUGAGCUCGCGGCCUAUCAGCUUGUUGGUGAGGUAACGGCUCACCAAGGCGACGACGGGUAGCCGGCCUGAGAGGGUGACCGGCCACAUUGGGACUGAGACACGGCCCAGACUCCUACGGGAGGCAGCAGUGGGGAAUAUUGCACAAUGGGCGCAAGCCUGAUGCAGCAACGCCGCGUGAGGGAUGACGGCCUUCGGGUUGUAAACCUCUUUUAGCAGGGAAGACGCGAAAGUGACGGUACCUGAAGAAAAAGCGCCGGCUAACUACGUG
Molecule: ribosomal RNA, 468 nt
Filed under: uncultured bacterium
Lineage: Bacteria
Description: partial 16S ribosomal RNA
Rfam family: Bacterial small subunit ribosomal RNA
Source: RNAcentral